Molecule: long non-coding RNA, 303 nt
Organism: Suricata suricatta (meerkat)
Lineage: Eukaryota; Metazoa; Chordata; Mammalia; Carnivora; Herpestidae
Exons: 3
Source: RefSeq, a predicted model, not a curated record
GUUAUCCUGAGUGGUCCUGAAACCGCCCAUCCACUCUGCCACCUUCUCCACCAGGCUGAGUGUAGCAAAGGUUUCCCAAGACAGCAUCCCAGCGAAGCAAAGGUGUCAGACGCAAGCCCUUGAAGGACACCACGUAUGUGCUAUGGAAAAGGAGAAAGAGCAUGAAGAUGACUCGCAAAGAUCAAUCAAGAAAGUUGUGUUGCAAAUGUAACAGAAGCCUUUCAAGGAGGAGUGGGUAAUUAACUGCUACCAGAUGAAGAAACAGAGGCAACAGCAUAAUACUUAGUAAGCAGUCAAAGAGAG